This is a ribosomal RNA of Cricetulus griseus (Chinese hamster), 116 nucleotides long. NCBI's taxonomy places the organism in Eukaryota, Metazoa, Chordata, Mammalia, Rodentia, Cricetidae. The record is from Ensembl.
UCUGGUCAUACCACCCUGAACCUAUCCUAACUUCUCUGGUGUCAGAAGCUAAGCAGGAUCGGGCCUGAUCAGUACUUGGAUGGGAGUCGAUACCGCAACGAGUAAGUUAGCCAAAC